GACGAACGCUGGCGGCGUGCUUAACACAUGCAAGUCGAACGGUGAAGCGCCUUCCUUUUUGGUGGGUGUGGAUGAGUGGCGAACGGGUGAGUAACACGUGAGUAACCUGCCCCCUUCUUCUGGAUAACCGCAUGAAAGUGUGGCUAAUACGGGAUAUUCUGGGUCUGUCGCAUGAUGGGUCUGGGAAAGAUAUUGUUUCGGUGGGGGAUGGGCUCGCGGCCUAUCAGCUUGUUGGUGGGGUGAUGGCCUACCAAGGCGGUGACGGGUAGCCGGCCUGGGAGGGUGGACGGUCACAAUGGGACUGAGACACGGCCCAGACUCCUACGGGAGGCAGCAGUGGGGAAUAGUGCACAAUGGGCGCAAGACUGAUGCAGCGACGCCGCGUGAGGGAUGGAGGCCUUCGGGUUGUGAACCUCUUUCGCCAGUGAAGCAGGCCUGCCUCGUUUGUGGGUGGGUUGACGGUAGCUGGAUAAGAAGCGCCGGCUAACUACGUG
This 494-nucleotide ribosomal RNA is filed under the name uncultured bacterium. Its description in RNAcentral is "partial 16S ribosomal RNA". It matches the Rfam family "Bacterial small subunit ribosomal RNA", at positions 28 to 507 of the family's 1533-position model. The record is from RNAcentral.